CAGAGGUAAACGGGUGGAUCCGCAAAGUCGGUCCGCUGAAUUCAGCUCGGCCUGCGGUUCGGAGCGGCGCGUUUCGGGAUCCCUGGGACCCGGGCGCGCUUCUGNCGCCGGACCCGGCCGUGUGCACUUUCGGCGGGCAGAGCGCCACGAUCGGCUUCSCGGCGGUCAGAAGCCCGGGAGGAAGGUAGGUGUCGGUCUGACCGGCACUGUUAUAGCCUCCCGAGGUGGACCGUUGUGGGGCCGAGGAACGACCGCCGCUGACGGCUACCCGUUCAUCGGGGCGAGUUCGACUGGCAGGGACUGGGCAACCGUGCCUGCCGACCGCUCGUCUCGACCGACCGGGACAGCCUGGCGGCACUGGGUCUGUGGCGAAUCUGUCGGCAUUCCACCCGA
Molecule: ribosomal RNA, 393 nt
Filed under: Philine sp. DTLT2001
Lineage: Eukaryota; Metazoa; Mollusca; Gastropoda; Cephalaspidea; Philinidae
Description: partial 28S ribosomal RNA
Source: RNAcentral